UUUUAAUAGGGGUUACAACU
Molecule: non-coding RNA, 20 nt
Filed under: Arabidopsis thaliana (thale cress)
Lineage: Eukaryota; Viridiplantae; Streptophyta; Magnoliopsida; Brassicales; Brassicaceae
Source: RNAcentral